This 512-nucleotide long non-coding RNA is filed under the name Nilaparvata lugens (brown planthopper). RNAcentral's name for it is "uncharacterized LOC111052750, transcript variant X2". Lineage: Eukaryota; Metazoa; Arthropoda; Insecta; Hemiptera; Delphacidae. The record is from RNAcentral.
UAUGGUAAGAUAAGAUUUAUAUUACAAUAAUUUUUGCUAUUUAUGUGGUUAACAUAACAACACAGUGAGGUUAACAACAACAACACAGGUCUAUCUUGAUGUGACUAUCUUAUUCAAUGUUUCUGGUUUUGAGGAAAGCAUUUUCCCAUCAUUUCAAACGUCUACCUUGUAUGAUGUGACUACCUUCUUAUUCAAUAUUUCUGGUUUCGAGAAAAGCAUUUGCCCGUCAUAUCAAACAUCAUGUUACUGAGGACAGUGGAUAAAAUUGAUAUGGUGUUUUGUUACCAUGCUAUGGAGGGUAAUGGUGGAUGAGUGAGGGAUGACACUAACAGGACAAUAAGAAUCGCGUUCGAGAGAACUGAAAUGCAUUCUAAGCUAGUAUUUCAUCUUAGCCAAGUAUUCAAGUUUAUGAAACUACUGUCUGUAAGACAGGCAUUACGAUGUAAGGAAAUACAGUUGUAGCAAAUAAUAUUAUAUCUUUGAUAAAUAAAAUUAAUUUGAAUUUAUUCGAA